This 459-nucleotide ribosomal RNA is filed under the name Triticum aestivum (bread wheat). RNAcentral's name for it is "partial small subunit ribosomal RNA". The record is from RNAcentral. Lineage: Eukaryota; Viridiplantae; Streptophyta; Magnoliopsida; Poales; Poaceae.
AUGUUUUUGCAUACAAUUGGGCAUAACCUUCGGAAUAGGGUUGUUUCUGCCAAUUUUGGUAGAUCAUAUGGCACAACCAGCAUCUAUUUUAGAAAGGCUCUUCAUGCCAUAGGCGAGCUUCGUAAUGAUUAUAUAAGGCCACCAUCAUUGGAAACCCCCGCAAAAAUUGCAGGAAAUCAUCGAUUUGACCCAUAUUUUAAGGAUUGUAUUGGAGCUAUCGAUGGUACACAUGUGCGAGCAGGGGUUACCAAAGAUGUGGAGCCUUCUUUUCGUGGUAGGAAGGCCUUUACCACUCAAAAUGUGAUGGCAGCAGUAGAUUUUGACCUCCGCUUCACAUAUGUGUUGGCUGGUUGGGAAGGGUCCGCACACGACGCGACCGUCUUAGCUGAUGCAUUAACUCGUGAGAGAGGCUUACAAGUACCACCUGGAAAGUACUACCUAGUUGAUGCCGGUUAUUGA